RNAcentral lists this ribosomal RNA (253 nucleotides) under uncultured bacterium. RNAcentral's name for it is "partial 16S ribosomal RNA". It matches the Rfam family "Bacterial small subunit ribosomal RNA", at positions 524 to 776 of the family's 1533-position model. The record is from RNAcentral.
UACGUACCGUACGAACGUUAUUCGGAAUUACUGGGCUUAAAGGGUUUGUAGGCGGCCAUGUAAGUGGGGUGUGAAAUCCCUCGGCUCAACCGAGGAAUGGCGCCCCAUACUGUAUGGCUUGAGGGAGACAGGGGUAAGCGGAACUGAUGGUGGAGCGGUGAAAUGCGUUGAUAUCAUCAGGAACACCGGUGGCGAAAGCGGCUUACUGGGUCUCUUCUGACGCUGAGGAACGAAAGCUAGGGUAGCGAACAGG